RNAcentral lists this ribosomal RNA (695 nucleotides) under uncultured euryarchaeote. RNAcentral's name for it is "bacterial SSU rRNA". It matches the Rfam family "Archaeal small subunit ribosomal RNA", at positions 173 to 879 of the family's 1478-position model. Lineage: Archaea; Methanobacteriati; Methanobacteriota. The record is from RNAcentral.
GAAAGGUCUUUGGUUUAAAGUUCUGGGGCCACGAGGGGUCUGCGGCCAUCAGGUAGUACGGGUGUAAGGUACAAUCGCUACGACCGGUAAGGGUUGUGAGAGCAAGAGCCCUGAGAAAGAUUUUGGAACAUGAUUCCAGGCCUUACGGGGUGCAGGCGCGAAAACUUUACACUGCGGGAAACCGCGAUAAGGGGACCCCGAGUGCCAGCACCUAGUGCUGGCUGUCCAGCUGUUCAAAAAACAGUUGUUAGCAAGGGCCGGGCAAGACCGGUGCCAGCCGCCGCGGUAACACCGGCGGCCCGAGUGGUAGCCGUUAUUAUUGGGUUUAAAGGGUCCGUAGCCGGCUUAUUAAGUCUCUUGGGAAAUCUGGCGACUCAAUCGUCAGGCGUUCAAGAGAUACUGGUAGGCUUGGGACCGGGAGAGGUGGGAGGUACUCCAGGGGUAGGGGUGAAAUCUCGUAAUCCUUGGGGGACCACCGAUGGCGAAGGCAUCCCACCAGAACGGGUCCGACGGUGAGGGACGAAAGCUGGGGGCACGAACCGGAUUAGAUACCCGGGUAGUCCCAGCUGUAAACGAUGCUCGCUAGGUGUCAGGUGCGGUGCGACCGCAUUUGGUGCCGUAGUGAAAACUUGAAGCGAGUCACCUGGGAAGUACGGUCGCAAGGCUGAAACUUAAAGGAAUUGGCGGGGGAGCAC